Girardinichthys multiradiatus is the source of this 891-nucleotide long non-coding RNA. RefSeq lists it as uncharacterized. The record is from RefSeq and is a predicted model, not a curated record. NCBI's taxonomy places the organism in Eukaryota, Metazoa, Chordata, Actinopteri, Cyprinodontiformes, Goodeidae. The transcript has 2 exons.
GAAGUCACCCAUUGAGAUGCUCAAAGGUUUGGUUCAAAACGUUGCUGGAAAAGAUCAGUCUUUAGGGCGAUGAGAUAUUGUUUAUAAAUGAGAUUUAUAAUAUAUGUUUUAUAUUUUGAUGUUAAUUUAUUUAUUUCUCUUCCAGCCUGUUCACACUGUUCAAAAAAUGGCUGUAAUUUCCCCUCCUGGUCAGCAGGUGGCAGCGACAGCAGGAGUCUGAAAAUCAAGAAGCAGGAAGUGGUUGUGCUAUGGAUGCAGUUUCUUCUUGUGAACAGCAGGUGGCAGCAGCAGGACUUUUCACAUGGUCACAAAGAAACAGGAAGUGGUUAGACUAAGUAAAACAAACAUCAUUACAUGUUUCAUAUUUAUUCUCUGCGAUGUGGAUGAAUUAGUUAAUUUCAGACUGGUGUAUCUUUGACUCAUGAGCUCUCUAUUUGGCUGUUGGGACUUUAUAAGAAGUUACAAAUAGUGGAAAUAUGUCAGAUGUUGGUUAGCUUUAGCCAUGCUAAUGCAGUGUUGCAUUGUGGGUAAUAAAAUUGUUGUUUUUUUUUUAAACGUUAGAUGUAAACUGUUUUUUAAUUUUCUUCAACAUUUAUUCCAGUAUGCUUUAACUGUGGUAGCAAGACAGCUUCCAGGCUCUGGUUUUGUUAGGUGAUAGUGUGUUGGCACCAUGAUUCAUUUAGGUGUGUGUGUGAAAGACAUCCCGGUGUGUGAGUAGAACAACUCAUACUUACCUGGCAGGGGAGAUACCAUGAUCAAGAAGGUGGUUCACCCAGGGUGAGGCUCAGCCAUUGCACUCCGGUUGUGCUGACCCCUGCGAAUUCCCCAAAUGUGGGAAUCUCGACUGCAUAAUUUGUGGUAGUGGGGGACUGCGUUCGCGCUCUCCCCUGA